UAGCUAGUUGGUGAGGUAACGGCUUACCAAGGCGACGAUCUGUAGCGGGUCUGAGAGGAUGAUCCGCCACACUGGAACUGAGACACGGUCCAGACUCCUACGGGAGGCAGCAGUGGGGAAUUUUGGACAAUGGGGGCAACCCUGAUCCAGCCAUGCCGCGUGAGUGAAGAAGGCCUUCGGGUUGUAAAGCUCUUUCGGCCGAGAAGAAAUCGCAUGGGCCAAUACCCUGUGUGGAUGACGGUACCGGAAUAAGAAGCACCGGCUAACUACGUGCCAGCAGCCGCGGUAAUACGUAGGGUGCGAGCGUUAAUCGGAAUUACUGGGCGUAAAGCGUGCGCAGGCGGUUUUGUAAGACAGGCGUGAAAUCCCCGGGCUCAACCUGGGAACUGCGUUUGUGACUGCAAGGCUAGAGUACGGCAGAGGGGGGUGGAAUUCCACGUGUAGCAGUGAAAUGCGUAGAGACGUGGAGGAACACCAAUGGCGAAGGCAGCCCCCUGGGUCGAUACUGACGCUCAUGCACGAAAGCGUGGGUAGCAAACAGGAUUAGAUACCCUGGUAGUCCACGCCCUAAACUAUGUCAACUAGGUGUUGGGUGGGUAAAACCAUUUAGUACCGUAGCUAACGCGUGAAGUUGACCGCCUGGGGAGUACGGCCGCAAGGUUAAAACUCAAAGGAAUUGACGGGGACCCGCACAAGCGGUGGAUGAUGUGGAUUAAUUCGAUGCAACGCGAAAAACCUUACCUACCCUUGACAUGCCAGGAACUUGCCAGAGAUGGCUUGGUGCCCGAAAGGGAGCCUGGACACAGGUGCUGCAUGGCUGUCGUCAGCUCGUGUCGUGAGAUGUUGGGUUAAGUCCCGCAACGAGCGCAACCCUUGUCGUUAAUUGCCAUCAUUUAGUUGGGCACUUUAGCGAGACUGCCGGUGACAAACCGGAGGAAGGUGGGGAUGACGUCAAGUCCUCAUGGCCCUUAUGGGUAGGGCUUCACACGUCAUACAAUGGUCGGUACAAAGGGUCGCCAAGCCGCGAGGUGGAGCCAAUCCCAGAAAGCCGAUCGUAGUCCGGAUUGCAGGCUGCAACUCGCCUGCAUGAAGUCGGAAUCGCUAGUAAUCGUGGAUCAGCAUGUCACGGUGAAUACGUUCCCGGGUCUUGUACACACCGCCCGUCACACCAUGGGAGCGGGUUCCGCCAGAAGUAGGUAGCCUAACCGCAAGGAGGGCGCUUACCACGGCGGGGUUCGUGACUGGGGUGAAGUCGAAACAAGGUAGCCGUAGGGGAACCUGCGGCUG
Molecule: ribosomal RNA, 1287 nt
Filed under: metagenome
Description: bacterial SSU rRNA
Rfam family: Bacterial small subunit ribosomal RNA
Source: RNAcentral